Molecule: long non-coding RNA, 2421 nt
Organism: Centropristis striata (black sea bass)
Lineage: Eukaryota; Metazoa; Chordata; Actinopteri; Perciformes; Serranidae
Exons: 4
Source: RefSeq, a predicted model, not a curated record
CACUGGGUGUGGUUUUACUUUAAAACAGUCCAACAAUCAUGACGCUGCAUUUUAUUCAGCUCAUCCUUAGACAGAAGGUUUACAGCUCUGCUACAGGCUCACAGCCGACAAAACAAACAAACAUCAGAAACAUGGUUAAGGUCCACGUUGAUCACUGUUCAGGAUGAGGGUUCGGGGGGCGUUUCAGCCGCCUGAAGUCCUUCCUCAAUGCAGAGGCUCCUGAGGUGACUGUCACCAGCGACAUCGGGAAACCAGGUAGCUUUGAGGUGUCCGUGGAUGGUGAGAUGGUCUUCGAAAGGAGUAAAGAAGGAGGGUUUCCUGAUCCUGAAAAGAUCCUGAAGUCUGUGAGGAAAGCACAAGGAAAAUAAGAAGAUGGAGAUUAAAACAGCUGUAUUCACACUGCAAGAACAAUGACUACAUUCUCUCACAGCUGCAUAUCUGAAUACAAAAAUGAAUUCAAACAUUACAAUAUGACACAAAAAACUUUUUUUUUUUUUAAAUGCAAUUGUGGACCAAAAUCAAAACCUUAAAGUCUCACCAUCAGCUGUGAGAAGAGAAGACCAUUAAUCUUCACUGUGAAUACAGACAAGGACGACAAGAUGAUGAGAGCCACUCUGAGGAGCCAGGAACUGAUCUGCACUUCUGUUUAUGACUGUACACAUUCAAAUUCACAGUGUGUACACGAUGCAAGUCUAGAAGCUUUUCACCUGACUGGAUCCUGAGGAACUGCACUCAUGAUGUCUGCCUGGCAUUUACGCAUAAAUACAAUGUAUCUACAGCUGCAUUUACUCAGGAAUGGAAAAUUAUAACAAUGUAACGCUUUCAUAUAUUUACCAUUUCUCUGUUGUUGAUUGGGAACUAAUUUAAAGGGACAGUUCACCCUAAAAUCCAAAAUACUUAAAAUACCACACUUUUUUUUAUCUUAUCUGUAGCACUUCUAAUCAAUUUAUGUUUAUGGGAGUUGCUGACUGAAGAGAUAUCACCUUCUCCGGAAUAUAAUGGGCUAAAUGGCACUCUGCUUGUUGUGCUCAAAGCUUAAAAAAAUUUGGUUCCAUGAAGCAAAUUCAGCUAGUUUCCCAGCAUAAGUGGCUAAACAAACUAAGCUUUUGCUAUGUUGAAUUUGCUUUAUAGAACCAAAUAAAUCGAAAAUGAGUACAUUAUACAUACAUUAUAUUCGAGAGAAAGCAGACAUUCACACUGGUGAUAUCUCCAACACUCUGCAGAGACACCAACACAAUGUAGACUGAUAAAUACCACCACAAGUAAGAAUGGUAAUAUGUGUUUUUGAUUUUGGGGUGAACUGUCCCUUUAAAUAAAUAAUUUGACUUAUUUUGAAAUAAGCUUUUUGGCCUUCUUGCCAAGAGUUAGCCACAUGAGAACAUCGAAACCACUCAUAGGUUUGUACAAUGAAUAUGAAGCUACCAUCAGCAGCUGGUUAGCUUAGCUAAGCAUUAGGCCUGAAAACAGGGGGACACAGCUAGCCUGGCUCUGUCCUGUCAAGACAAUCUGCCUACCAGCACUUCUAAAGCUCACUGAUAAACAUGUUUUAUCUUGUUUAAUCCGUACAAAAACCAGCACGUGAAAACGGCAAUUUGCCAUUUUACAGAGGGGUUGUGUGCCAGACUAUUUCUUGGUCUGGACCAGUUUCUUCCUGGAGUCUUGGUCCAGGCCAAGAAAUAGUCUGGCUCACAACCCCUCUGUAAAAUGGCAAAUGGUCAUUUUUACACUUCUGGUUUUUGUACAGAUCAAACAAGAUGAAGAGUAACAUGUCAAUUAGCGAGCUUUAGAGGUUCUGGUAGGCAGGUUUUCUUAUGUUCGGACAGAGCCAGGCUAGCUGUUUCCCCCUGUGUCCAGUCUUUAUGCUAAGCUAAGCUAAACAGCUGCUGGUUGUAGCCUUAUAUUUUCCAUACAGACGUGAGAGUGGUAAUGGUCUUCUCAACUAACUCUCUGCAAUAAAGCAAAAUAAGCACAUUUCACAAAAGGUCGGAUUAUUCUUUAACUUUUGGGUGGCCAGUGUCUUAUCUGAUUGGAAAGUCUUUCAGUUAUUUCAAAGCAUUCGCUGUAUGGGCGACCAGCCCAUUCAACUAUCAAUGCAUGUUAUACUCUGAAAUACAUAAUGAACACAAACUUUUCAAACAUAUCAGAUGCAUUUUAUAUUCAUAGCUGCCAUGUAUGCACUACCUUUUUAAAUAUAACCUGGACUCUUACCUGGAUGCUAAGAGCUAAGUACUGCCAUCUCUGUUACUAUUUGAUUUCUUAGCAGUUAAGACAAAGAUUAAAUUAGUCAAAAAUGAAAAACAUAAUUUUAAUUUGACCUGGAACAUAUAUUUGAUUUCAAACUGUAAACGGUUAUCUCAUUUGUAAUCAAUUCCAACAAACAUAUUAUUUCUCUGCAAUAAACUAUCACUGAAAAAGCAACAA